Molecule: long non-coding RNA, 458 nt
Filed under: Anser brachyrhynchus (Pink-footed goose)
Lineage: Eukaryota; Metazoa; Chordata; Aves; Anseriformes; Anatidae
Description: lncRNA (ENSABRG00000018762.1)
Source: RNAcentral
GGAGUUCCCCCAGCUGAGGCUGAUGUUGGCAAACGGCAUCACCAGCAGGGCUGUGAAAAGGGAAGCAAAACAGGCACCCGAAGCUGGGUGACAGCACUGUGCUGCUGUUGGGUCAUCUUCUGUUCUGGGUGGGGUGCUGAGUGUGGUGUCAUGUAGUGCUUGGUGGUCUGGGGAGCCGGCAGUCCCCGUCAGACCAAAAAAACGCUAAAAAGAAACACAUUAGUCGUGAAUGAAAACCAUGUAUGAACAUGACCACAUGGGGAAAGGGGGGUGCAGAUGUUACAGAAACCCAAAUCAGAGAGCUCCUUGUGCCUCGAGAGCACUCACUUGUGUCCUGGAUGACUUCAUAACUACAGGAAACAGGUAUUUGAGGUUCUGCUCUGUUCCGUAAACUUCCCUGACUUUAUACUUAAGCUUCCCUGAUUUUACUAGAGUUGCAAAGUCCUUGGAAAACUUUG